This 486-nucleotide ribosomal RNA is filed under the name Streptococcus mutans. RNAcentral's name for it is "bacterial SSU rRNA". It matches the Rfam family "Bacterial small subunit ribosomal RNA", at positions 28 to 490 of the family's 1533-position model. The record is from RNAcentral. Lineage: Bacteria; Bacillati; Bacillota; Bacilli; Lactobacillales; Streptococcaceae.
GACGAACGCUGGCGGCGUGCCUAAUACAUGCAAGUGGGACGCAAGGGAACACACUGUGCUUGCACACCGUGUUUUCUUGAGUCGCGAACGGGUGAGUAACGCGUAGGUAACCUGCCUAUUAGCGGGGGAUAACUAUUGGAAACGAUAGCUAAUACCGCAUAAUAUUAAUUAUUGCAUGAUAAUUGAUUGAAAGAUGCAAGUGCAUCACUAGUAGAUGGACCUGCGUUGUAUUAGCUAGUUGGUAAGGUAAGAGCUUACCAAGGCGACGAUACAUAGCCGACCUGAGAGGGUGAUCGGCCACACUGGGACUGAGACACGGCCCAGACUCCUACGGGAGGCAGCAGUAGGGAAUCUUCGGCAAUGGACGAAAGUCUGACCGAGCAACGCCGCGUGAGUGAAGAAGGUUUUCGGAUCGUAAAGCUCUGUUGUAAGUCAAGAACGUGUGUGAGAGUGGAAAGUUCACACAGUGACGGAGCUACCAGAAAG